AACGAACGCUGGCGGCAUGCCUAACACAUGCAAGUCGAGCGAGAUCUUCGGGUCUAGUGGCGCACGGGUGCGUAACGCGUGGGAAUCUGCCCUUUGGUUCGGAAUAACAGUUGGAAACGACUGCUAAUACCGGAUGAUGACGAGAGUCCAAAGAUUUAUCGCCAGAGGAUGAGCCCGCGUAGGAUUAACUAGUUGGUGUGGUAAAGGCGCACCAAGGCGACGAUCCUUAGCUGGUCUGAGAGGAUGAUCAGCCACACUGGGACUGAGACACGGCCCAGACUCCUACGGGAGGCAGCAGUGGGGAAUAUUGGACAAUGGGCGAAAGCCUGAUCCAGCAAUGCCGCGUGAGUGAUGAAGGCCUUAGGGUUGUAAGGCUCUUUUACCCGGGAUGAUAAUGACAGUACCGGGAGAAUAAGCUCCGGCUAACUCCGUGCCAGCCGCCGCGGUAA
Molecule: ribosomal RNA, 449 nt
Filed under: uncultured bacterium
Lineage: Bacteria
Description: partial 16S ribosomal RNA
Rfam family: Bacterial small subunit ribosomal RNA
Source: RNAcentral